AUCUAAAUAGCUUAAAUAGAGCGAGACACUGAAGAUGUCUAGGUGGUUUUAUGCCUUUGGGUA
RNAcentral lists this transfer RNA (63 nucleotides) under Torleya grandiforceps. RNAcentral's name for it is "tRNA-Phe". Lineage: Eukaryota; Metazoa; Arthropoda; Insecta; Ephemeroptera; Ephemerellidae. The record is from RNAcentral.